CAACCUCAACUCAUAUGGGACUACCCCCUGAAUUUAAGCAUAUUAAUUAGGGGAGGAAAAGAAACUAACAAGGAUUUUCUUAGUAGCGGCGAGCGAAAAGAAAACAGUUCAGCACUAAGUCACUUUGUCUAUAUGGCAAAUGUGAGAUGCAGUGUAUGGAGCGUCAAUAUUCUAGUAUGAGAAAUUAAUGAUUUAAGUCCUUCUUAAAUGAGGCCAUUUACCCAUAGAGGGUGCCAGGCCCGUAUAACGUUAAUGAUUGCUAGAUGAUGUUUCCAAAGAGUCGUGUUGCUUGAUAGUGCAGCACUAAGUGGGUGGUAAACUCCAUCUAAAACUAAAUAUAACCAUGAGACCGAUAGUAAACAAGUACCGUGAGGGAAAGUUGAAAGGAACUCUGAAUAGAGAGUUAAACAGUACGUGAAACUGCUUAGAGGUUAAGCCCGAUGAACCUGAAUAUCCGCAAUGGAAAAUUCAUCAUUAAAAUUGUAAUAUUUAAAUAAUAUUAUUAAGAA
RNAcentral lists this non-coding RNA (509 nucleotides) under Drosophila sechellia. Its description in RNAcentral is "Eukaryotic large subunit ribosomal RNA". It matches the Rfam family "Eukaryotic large subunit ribosomal RNA", at positions 1 to 494 of the family's 3401-position model. The record is from Rfam by way of RNAcentral. Lineage: Eukaryota; Metazoa; Arthropoda; Insecta; Diptera; Drosophilidae.